GAUGAACGCUAGCUACAGGCUUAACACAUGCAAGUCGAGGGGAAACGACAUCGAAAGCUUGCUUUUGAUGGGCGUCGACCGGCGCACGGGUGAGUAACGCGUAUCCAACCUGCCCACCACUUGGGGAUAACCUUGCGAAAGUAAGACUAAUACCCAAUGACGUCUCUAGAAGACAUCUGAAAGGGAUUAAAGAUUUAUCGGUGAUGGAUGGGGAUGCGUCUGAUUAGCUUGUUGGCGGGGUAACGGCCCACCAAGGCGACGAUCAGUAGGGGUUCUGAGAGGAAGGUCCCCCACACUGGUACUGAGACACGGACCAGACUCCUACGGGAGGCAGCAGUGAGGAAUAUUGGUCAAUGGGCGCAGGCCUGAACCAGCCAAGUCGCGUGAGGGAGGACGGUCCUACGGAUUGUAAACCUCUUUUGUCGGGGAGUAACGUGCGGGACGCGUCCCGUAUUGAGAGUACCCGAAGAAAAAGCAUCGGCUAACUCCGUG
This 492-nucleotide ribosomal RNA is filed under the name uncultured bacterium. Its description in RNAcentral is "bacterial SSU rRNA". It matches the Rfam family "Bacterial small subunit ribosomal RNA", at positions 28 to 507 of the family's 1533-position model. The record is from RNAcentral.